This 480-nucleotide ribosomal RNA is filed under the name uncultured bacterium. RNAcentral's name for it is "SSU rRNA". It matches the Rfam family "Bacterial small subunit ribosomal RNA", at positions 26 to 518 of the family's 1533-position model. The record is from RNAcentral.
AGGACGAACGCUGGCGGCGUGCCUAACACAUGCAAGUCGAACGAGGUCCAACCGGUGGCAACACUGGUGAAGACCGAGUGGCGAACGGGUGAGUAACACGUGAGCAACCUGCCUCGAAGACUGGGAUAACCCCGGGAAACCGGAGCUAAUACCGGAUACCCCCACCGGGUCGCAUGGCCUGGUGAGGAAAUGGAUUCCGCUUUGAGAGGGGCUCGCGGCCUAUCAGCUUGAUGGUGGGGUAAUGGCCUACCAUGGCACCGACGGGUAGCUGGUCUGAGAGGACGAUCAGCCACACUGGGACUGAGACACGGCCCAGACUCCUACGGGAGGCAGCAGUGGGGAAUCUUGCGCAAUGGGCGAAAGCCUGACGCAGCAACGCCGCGUGUGGGACGAAGGCCUUCUGGGUUGUAAACCACUUUCAGCAGGGACGAUUGUGACGGUACCUGCAGAGAGCCCCGGCAACUACGUGCCAGCAGCCGC